AACCACAGGUGUCUGCUAUCACACCUGGCUAAUUUUUUUACUUUUUGUAGAGAUGAGGUCUCUAUGUUGCCCAGGCUGCUCUCAAAUUCCUGGGCUCAAGCAAUCCUCGCGGCUCAGCCUCCCAAAGUGCUGGGAUUAUAGGCUUGAGUCACCACGCUCAACCUUAUUUUUUUGUCUUUUAUUUUUUUUUUUACAGACAGGGUUUCCCUCUGUUACCCAGGCUGGAGUGCAGUGGCGUGAUCUUAACUCACCGCAGCCUUGAACUCCUGGGCUCAAUGGAUCCUCCCACCGCAGCCUCCUAAGUAGCUGAGACUGCAGGUCACACCUUGGCUGUAAAGUGUCCUAACAGCCACCUACUUAUGAUUACUGCUUUCUUACCAAUAACCUCCCCAGCCUGUUGUGUGACUCCUACAUCUUGAACAAAAGCGACCAAGGCAUACAUCUGUAGGAGACCAGAAUAUGCCACCCCAAAAUAUGCCUCCUUGGCAUAAGGAUUAUUUUGAGCUAGUAAUUUUGAGAAACAGAAGCUAUAAAAACAGCAUAAGCUACCCCUUUGAAAGAGAAAUUCACCCCGGCCACCACCCCGUCUGGGAAGUGAGGAGCGUCUCUGCCUGGCCGCCCAUCGUCUGGGAUGUGAGGAGCCCCUCUGCCCGGCCGCCCAGUCUGGGAAGUGAGGAGCGCCUCUUCCCGGCCGCCAUCCCGUCUAGGAAGUGAGGAGCGUCUCUGCCCGGCCGCCCAUCGUCUGAGAUGUGGGGAGCGCCUCUGCCCCGACUCCCCGUCUGGGAAGUGAGGAGCGCCUCUGCCCGGCCGCGACCCCGUCUGGGAUCUGAGGAGUGUCUCUGCCCGACCGCCACUCCGUCUGGGAGGUGAGGAGCGUCUCUGCCCAGCCGCCCCGUCUGAGAAGUGAGGAGCCCUUCCGCCCGGCAGCCACCCCGUCCGGGAGGUGGGGGGCAGCCCCCGCCCGGCCAGCCGCCGCGUCCGGGAGGUGGGGGACAGCCCCCACCCGGCAGCCGCCCCAUCCAGGAGGUGGGGGGGCGCCUCUGCCCGGCCGCCGCCCCGUCCGAGAGGUGGGGGGCGCCUCUGCCCAGCUGCCCCGUCUGGGAAGUGAGGAGCCCCUCUGCCCGGCCGCCACCCCGUCUGGGAGGUGUGCCCAACAGCUCAUUGAGAACGGGCCAUGAUGACGAUGGCGGUUUUGUCGAGUAGAAAAGGGGGGAAAUGUGGGGAAAGGAAGGAGAGAUCAGAUUGUUGCUGUGUCUGUGUGGAGAGAAGUAGAUACAGGAGACUCCAUUUUGUUAUGUACUAAGAAAAAUUCUUCUGCCUUGGGAUGCUGUUAAUCUAUAACCUUACCCCCAACCCCAUGCUCUCUGAAACAUGUGCUGUGUCCACUCAGGGUUAAAUGGAUUAAGGGCGGUGCAAGAUGUGCUUUGUUAAACAGAUGCUUGAAGGCAGCAUGCUUGUUAAGAGUCAUCACCACUCCCUAAUCUCAAGUACCCAGGGACACAAACACUGGAAGGCCGCAGGGACCUCUGCCUAGGAAAACCAGAGACCCUUGUUCACAUGUUUAUCUGCUGACCUUCCCUCCACUAUUGUCCUAUGACCCUGCCAAAUCCCCCUCUCCGAGAAACACCCAAGAAUGAUCAAUAAA
Gorilla gorilla gorilla (western lowland gorilla) is the source of this 1645-nucleotide long non-coding RNA. RefSeq lists it as uncharacterized. The record is from RefSeq and is a predicted model, not a curated record. Lineage: Eukaryota; Metazoa; Chordata; Mammalia; Primates; Hominidae. The transcript has 3 exons.